AUGGAUGUUAAGACUGCUUUCCUAAAUGGAGAGUUGGACGAGGACAUUUAUAUGGAACAACCAGAUGGGUUUGUACUAGAUGGUCAGGUCAAGGAUUUCCUAUCUCAUUGUUUUGAGAUGAAGGAUUUAGGAGUGGCUGAUGUCAUUCUGAACAUCAAGUUGUUGAGAGACGAUGAUGGUGGGAUUACUUUGCUUCAAUCUCACUAUGUGGAAAAGAUCUUGAGUCGCUUUGGCUAUAGUAACUGCAAGCCCUCUCCAACACCAUAUGAUGCCAAACUGAGUCGGUUUGUUUCAAAACCAGGAGAAGUGCAUUGGAAAGCUCUAGAAAGAGUUUUGCGUUAUUUGAAAGGCACUGCAAAUUAUGGAAUUCACUACACCGGGCAUCCAAAGGUGCUUGAAGGGUAUAGUGACUCAAACUGGAUCUCAGAUGCUGAUGAGAUAAAGGCCACGAGUGGUUAUGUAUUCACUCAUGGAGGUGGCGCUGUUUCUUGGAAGUCUUGCAAGCAGACCAUCUUAAUGAGGUCAACAAUGGAAGCAGAACUCACAGCACUAGAUACAGCUACGGUUGAAGCAGAUUGGCUUCGCCGGCUCUUGAAUGACUUGCCGGUUGUUGAGAAACCUGUACCGGGUGUCCUUAUGAACUGCGACAAUCAAACUGUGAUCACGAAAGUGAGCAGUUCAAAGGAUAACAUGAAGUCAUCAAGACAUGUUCAGAGAAGGUUAAAGUCUGUCAGGAAAAUGAAAAACUCCGGAGUUAUUGCGUUGGAUUAUAUCCAAACGUCUAAAAAUCUGGCAGAUCCUUUUACUAAGGGUCUAUCACGUAAUGUGAUAGAUAAUGCAUCGAGGGAGAUGGGUAUGAGACCCACAAUAUGA
RNAcentral lists this ribosomal RNA (873 nucleotides) under Triticum aestivum (bread wheat). RNAcentral describes it as "partial small subunit ribosomal RNA". Lineage: Eukaryota; Viridiplantae; Streptophyta; Magnoliopsida; Poales; Poaceae. The record is from RNAcentral.